AGAACGAACGCUGGCGGCAGGCUUAACACAUGCAAGUCGAACGCCCCGCAAGGGGAGUGGCAGACGGGUGAGUAACGCGUGGGAACAUACCCUUCGGUACGGAAUAGCUCAGGGAAACUUGGAUUAAUACCGUAUACGGCCGGGAGGCGAAAGAUUGAUCGCCGAAGGAUUGGCCCGCGUCCGAUUAGCUAGUUGGCGGGGUAAUGGCUCACCAAGGCGACGAUCGGUAGCUGGU
This 235-nucleotide ribosomal RNA is filed under the name uncultured bacterium. RNAcentral's name for it is "partial small subunit ribosomal RNA". It matches the Rfam family "Bacterial small subunit ribosomal RNA", at positions 26 to 291 of the family's 1533-position model. The record is from RNAcentral.